AUUGAACGCUGGCGGCAUGCUUUACACAUGCAAGUCGAACGGCAGCGCGGGCUUCGGCCUGGCGGCGAGUGGCGAACGGGUGAGUAAUGCAUCGGAACGUGCCCAGUCGUGGGGGAUAGCCCGGCGAAAGCCGGAUUAAUACCGCAUCCGACCUGAUGGUGAAAGCGGGGGACCGAAAGGCCUCGCGCUUUUGGAGCGGCCGAUGUCGGAUUAGCUAGUUGGUGGGGUAAAGGCUUACCAAGGCGACGAUCCAUAGCUGGUCUGAGAGGACGACCAGCCACACUGGGACUGAGACACGGCCCAGACUCCUACGGGAGGCAGCAGUGGGGAAUUUUGGACAAUGGGGGCAAGCCUGAUCCAGCCAUGCCGCGUGCGGGAAGAAGGCCUUCGGGUUGUAAACCGCUUUUGUUCGGGAAGAAAUCCUCUGGGCUAAUACCCCGGGGGGAUGACGGUACCGGAAGAAUAAGCACCGGCUAACUACGUG
This 484-nucleotide ribosomal RNA is filed under the name uncultured bacterium. Its description in RNAcentral is "partial 16S ribosomal RNA". It matches the Rfam family "Bacterial small subunit ribosomal RNA", at positions 28 to 507 of the family's 1533-position model. The record is from RNAcentral.